UGUGCGGGGCCACCGUGCACGCGAGGAGCAGCGGGCCCGCCGAGGGCCGCGGAGGCCCAGGCCAGGACUUCACUCUAAGUCUUUGGGGAGCCUGGACAGGAGAGGACGGGACUCACAGUGGCAACACCCACCCGAUGGUCCCGCUGCAUCAUGACGGUGUGGAAAUUCAAAGUGAGAUAGAGCACACAGGAAGGUGAUUGAGGAAAAGUGCAGGAAAGAGACAUGUCUGCAUAGACACAGGCUCUGAAAGAACAAAAGCUGCAUUUUGUCAAGUGGCCGGGCUCGCCUCGGCACUUGCUUCUCCGGACUUGGGGUGAAGUCCUUGCCUGCGGGAACCCGGUUUCUUCAGGAGCCACCCCAGAGCGAGGGGACGGCGAGGACGUCUCCCUGCCCGGGGCUGGCUGCAGAGCAAGAACUGGGGUGCAGGCCAGAGAUGUGGGAGAGUGAGAGGAUUCACCAGAGACAGAGUAGGGAGUAGAACAGGCAGAUAUACCGAGAUACACUGCUGAGGGGAGCAGCAGGUGAGACAGGAGAGGUCUGCUGCACCAUGUGGGUAGCUCCCUGGCCAGGCGUGAACUCAGACCAUUGUUGUGACAGCACUGAGAUUUAACCCCUAGGCCACUGGGGAUGGGAGGGGAGGCUGCACUUUACCUUUUAAUGUGUUAAACUGAUGUUACCUCCUUCCUUGCCAAUCCCUGUUAUGCUCGCCUUGGAGAGAAGUUGAAUUUCUCUGGAAAGGAGAAAGGAACCAGCAUUUAUUGAGCACCUGCUGGAACAACAAGUUCAUCGCUUUAGGGUCUGGCUGCGGUGGACGCUGUCGGGAAAGGCUGGGAGUCCCGGAGCCUGCGACAGACCCGCCCGUGCCUCCUGCCCGCCGCCUGCCCCGGCCCACUGCGACCUGCUCAUGAGCUGGAGUGAUGUGGGGACAAGGCCUGGGGCUGGACUGAAAGUUUCAGGGAGUGACUGAUGGACUUUCUCUGGCCAGGAGCCUGACCUGUGCGCCCCAGAUGACCAGUUUUGGGAUACAUUAUUUCUCUCAAAAUGAGAAGAUUCUCGUGUGGGGGAGCCACAAAUUAGAUGAUCUCCAGAGGCGAUGACAACAUCAAUCAUGGUUUUUAUUAUAAUACGGAUUCAUUUUUCAUUUAUGCAUUGUAAUCAAAGCUCUCGCAUCUGAGUGUCACUUACCCGAGCUUCCUGGUCUCCCUGAGCUGCGCAUCAGGGGCGCUGUUCAUUAGCCUGAAACAGAAAAUACAUCCCGGGAUCAAUUAUAUGAGCGUUUUCAGGUAAAAGAGAAAUGGCUGCAGCUGAAGGUACAGGGCAUUUCUCUUAGGAAAUGGUUUUUAUAAAGAUCACAGUUGUGCAGAUCUCCCGCCGUCCUGCUUUGGGGGGCAUUCCAUGUCCCUUCCCAGUGACCUGACGCUGCACCCCAGGAAUCCUACAGGCCGGGUUCCCCUUCCCAUUCUUACCCGGCAGGACCGGGUCCCGAGGGUUCUCAGACUGGCCGCCCCGCAGUUGUGCAGCUUCUGCCAAAGGGAGCCGCUCCCCUGCGCCAAGGUCUCUGCUCCAGGCAGAGGCUCCCACCUGGGCAGAAUCUGGAAUCAGAGAUGGGGCAGCUCUGGACUUGGGGAGCACUCAGAGCUACUGGGACCUCACCAGAAUAAAGGGGAGGGCAGGAAACAGUGGUUGACACACCUGGGAGGGGGGGUGUACAGGGCAGAGCCCCCAGAGAGGAAGGCGACGCUGUGCUCAGGGUCAGGGCUGAGUUUUGGGUACCUGCAGCCUCAGGAACCCACCAUCAUCUCUGCCAAGGCCCCCAGGCCCCCAGAGUCAUAAAGUCAGCGAGUUGUCUGCACUGUCGGGGAGAGGAGCCGCGCCAGCCGAGACGUCCAAAGAUAGGAGGAUCCCC
Long non-coding RNA from Talpa occidentalis (Iberian mole), 1906 nucleotides. RefSeq lists it as uncharacterized. NCBI's taxonomy places the organism in Eukaryota, Metazoa, Chordata, Mammalia, Eulipotyphla, Talpidae. The transcript has 7 exons. The record is from RefSeq and is a predicted model, not a curated record.